Molecule: ribosomal RNA, 317 nt
Filed under: uncultured bacterium
Lineage: Bacteria
Description: bacterial SSU rRNA
Rfam family: Bacterial small subunit ribosomal RNA
Source: RNAcentral
GAUGAACGCUAGCUACAGGCUUAACACAUGCAAGUCGAGGGGCAGCAUGGUCUUAGCUUGCUAAGGCUGAUGGCGACCGGCGCACGGGUGAGUAACACGUAUCCAACCUGCCGUCUACUCUUGGCCAGCCUUCUGAAAGGAAGAUUAAUCCAGGAUGGGAUCAUGAGUUCACAUGUCCGCAUGAUUAAAGGUAUUUUCCGGUAGACGAUGGGGAUGCGUUCCAUUAGAUAGUAGGCGGGGUAACGGCCCACCAAGGCAUCGAUGGAUAGGGGUUCUGAGAGGAAGGUCCCCCACAUUGGAACUGAGACACGGUCCAA